Molecule: ribosomal RNA, 256 nt
Filed under: uncultured bacterium
Lineage: Bacteria
Description: partial 16S ribosomal RNA
Rfam family: Bacterial small subunit ribosomal RNA
Source: RNAcentral
UACGAAGGGGGCUAGCGUUGUUCGGAAUCACUGGGCGUAAAGCGCACGUAGGCGGCUUUCUAAGUCGGGGGGUGAAAUCCUGGAGCUCAACUCCAGAACUGCCUCGAUACUGGAGAGCUCGAGUCCGGGGAGAGGUGAGUGGAACUGCGAGUGUAGAGGUGAAAUUCGUAGAUUAUUCGCAAGAACACCAGUGGCGAAGGCGGCUCACUGGCCCGAUACUGACGCUGAGGCACGAAAGCGUGGGGAGCAAAGCAGG